CCUACGGGUGGCAGCAGUGGGGAAUAUUGGACAAUGGGCGAAAGCCUGAUCCAGCCAUGCCGCGUGUGUGAAGAAGGCCUUCGGGUUGUAAAGCACUUUCAGUGGGGAAGAAAGCCUUGGGGCUAAUACCCUCGAGGAAGGACAUCACCCACAGAAGAAGCACCGGCUAACUCCGUGCCAGCAGCCGCGGUAAUACGGAGGGUGCGAGCGUUAAUCGGAAUUACUGGGCGUAAAGCGCGCGUAGGCGGUCUGAUAAGCCGGUUGUGAAAGCCCCGGGCUCAACCUGGGAACGGCAUCCGGAACUGUCAGGCUAGAGUGCAGGAGAGGAAGGUAGAAUUCCCGGUGUAGCGGUGAAAUGCGUAGAGAUCGGGAGGAAUACCAGUGGCGAAGGCGGCCUUCUGGACUGGCACUGACGCUGAGGUGCGAAAGCGUGGGUAGCAAACAGGAUUAGAUACCCGAGUAGUC
RNAcentral lists this ribosomal RNA (465 nucleotides) under Vreelandella stevensii. Its description in RNAcentral is "partial 16S ribosomal RNA". It matches the Rfam family "Bacterial small subunit ribosomal RNA", at positions 338 to 795 of the family's 1533-position model. The record is from RNAcentral. Lineage: Bacteria; Pseudomonadati; Pseudomonadota; Gammaproteobacteria; Oceanospirillales; Halomonadaceae.